This 253-nucleotide ribosomal RNA is filed under the name uncultured microorganism. Its description in RNAcentral is "partial 16S ribosomal RNA". It matches the Rfam family "Bacterial small subunit ribosomal RNA", at positions 524 to 776 of the family's 1533-position model. The record is from RNAcentral.
UACGUAGGGUGCGAGCGUUAAUCGGAUUUACUGGGCGUAAAGCGUGCGCAGGCGGCCCGUUAAGACAGGUGUGAAAUCCCUGGGCUCAACCUAGGAAUUGCGCUUGUGACUUGCGGGCUCGAGUACGGUAGAGGGGGGUGGAAUUCCUGGUGUAGCAGUGAAAUGCGUAGAGAUCAGGAGGAACACCGAUGGCGAAGGCAGCCCCCUGGGCCUGUACUGACGCUCAUGCACGAAAGCGUGGGGAGCAAACAGG